GAUGAAGAACGUAGCGAAAUGCGAUAAGUAAUGUGAAUUGCAGAAUUCAGUGAAUCAUCGAAUCUUUGAACGCACAUUGCGCCCGCCAGUAUUCUGGCGGGCAUGCCUGUUCGAGCGUCAUUUCAACCCUCAAGACCCCUUCGGGGGACUUGGUGUUGGGGACCGGCACAGGGGCCUGCCUGCUUGUCUUGCAGCGCCCUCGCCGCCCCCGAAAUGAAUUGGCGGCCUCGUCGCGGCCUCCCCUGCGUAGUAGCACAAACCUCGCAACGGGAACGUGACGGCGGCCACUGCCGUAAAACAACCCAAUUUUAUUAGAGUUGACCUCGAAUCAGGUAGGAAUACCCGCUGAACUUAAGCAUAUCAAUAAGCGGGGA
RNAcentral lists this unclassified non-coding RNA (374 nucleotides) under soil metagenome. RNAcentral describes it as "partial contains 5.8S ribosomal RNA, internal transcribed spacer 2, and large subunit ribosomal RNA". The stretch from base 1 to 120 matches the Rfam family "5.8S ribosomal RNA", at positions 35 to 154 of the family's 154-position model. The record is from RNAcentral.